GGAUUAAAAAGAUCCCAUACCGAUAUCUGAAUUAUGCCAAGCAAGGGCUCAUCGAUGCGGAUAUUUGCAACCUCGAUUUUGGAUUUCCAUGUC
RNAcentral lists this ribosomal RNA (93 nucleotides) under Karenia brevis. RNAcentral describes it as "partial Eukaryotic large subunit ribosomal RNA". The record is from RNAcentral. Lineage: Eukaryota; Dinophyceae; Gymnodiniales; Kareniaceae.